CCUUGUACACACCGCCCGUCACACCAUGGGGGUUGGCUUUACCUGAAGCCGGUGCGCUAACCCGCAAGGGAGGCAGCCGACCACGGUAGGGUCAGCGACUGGGGUG
This 106-nucleotide ribosomal RNA is filed under the name uncultured bacterium. RNAcentral describes it as "partial 16S ribosomal RNA". It matches the Rfam family "Bacterial small subunit ribosomal RNA", at positions 1379 to 1482 of the family's 1533-position model. The record is from RNAcentral.